Long non-coding RNA from Ipomoea nil (Japanese morning glory), 806 nucleotides. RefSeq lists it as uncharacterized. The transcript has 3 exons. NCBI's taxonomy places the organism in Eukaryota, Viridiplantae, Streptophyta, Magnoliopsida, Solanales, Convolvulaceae. The record is from RefSeq and is a predicted model, not a curated record.
GCUUGUUCUCUCUUUCAAGACAACACUUCUUACUCUUCUUUUUCUCUUCCAGGGCGAUGGAGGGCGAUAACCUGCAUGAGACCACAGAUCUACGAGAGCCAUCUACCGGCAUGAGAUCAUGGAUCUAGAAGAACCGUUAGUGGCAAAGAGAGAUCAAGUGCGAAGAAGUCAUUUCUGCUAUACUCAACAAAUUUCAGCUCCAUAGAUCUACGGGAAUCACCAUCUGCAACCAUCUACCAGCGAUGACCUGCGUGAGACCAUAGAUCUACGAGAAUCGUCAACGACAAGGGCGAUGACAUAAAUGAGCUUUUUUUCUCGCUGGAUUUCUGCUCCGCGGCUGCGGAACGCCACAAUAAGAGGGUCUAAAUCUGUAUGAUGUGUUCUUUGCUCAGCUCAUUAACUCUUCAAGGGCACAGAGUGUUGAUAUAUACACAAUUUCAGCAUAUGUUGGACUUGCUAGAAGAUUACUGCAACUUUAGGGUACUAACACUUUCAUUUGAUUAUCUUCUGUUUCUGAGUCACGUACCCUGCUCUAUUCUCUAUGCAGUUUCUGAGUCACGUACCCUGCACUGAUCAAAGUCAUUGAAGUAGAAGGCUAUGGAUGCGGCAUUGAUCAAAACUAUUGAAGCAGUGUUAGAUUUGAAGGCUUGGCUUAUUUAGGUGCAAUGAGAAUAUUUAGUAUAUAUUUUUAUGACUUUUUUUUUGUGUGUAUGGUAAUAGUCUAUUGCUGGAAGUACUAUAGACAUGACCAUAAUUUGUGUUGUAAAUAACUUUGAUGUUUAAAUAUAUUUUCAAUUUGAAAUUUA